RNAcentral lists this ribosomal RNA (519 nucleotides) under uncultured eukaryote. Its description in RNAcentral is "SSU rRNA". It matches the Rfam family "Eukaryotic small subunit ribosomal RNA", at positions 21 to 549 of the family's 1831-position model. The record is from RNAcentral.
UAGUCAUAUGCUUGUCUCAAAGAUUAAGCCAUGCAUGUCUAAGUAUAAACAACUCGUACUUGUGAAACUGCGAAUGGCUCAUUAAUCAGUUAUAGUUUAUUUGAUGGUAUUUUUUUCUUACUUGGAUAACCGUUUGAAAAUAGAGCUAAUACAUGCCUAGAAACCUGACCGCAAGGGAGGGUUGUAUUUAUUAGAUAAAAAACCGACAUUACUUCGGUGAAUCAUAAUAACUUUGCGAAUCGCAUGAGCUUGUCUCGGCGAUGCUUCAUUCAAAUUUCUGCCCUAUCAACUUUCGAUGGUAGUAUAGAGGACUACCAUGGUGAUAACGGGUAACGGGGAAUUAGGGUUCGAUUCCGGAGAGGGAGCCUGAGAAAUGGCUACCACUCCUAAGGAAGGCAGCAGGCGCGCAAAUUACCCAAUCCUAACACAGGGAGGUAGUGACAAGAAAUAACGAAGCUGGGCCCAUCGGGUCUAGCUAUUGGAAUGAGUACAAUUUAAACCCCUUAACGAGUAACAAUU